Dissulfuribacter thermophilus is the source of this 72-nucleotide transfer RNA. It matches the Rfam family "tRNA". From Rfam's summary of the family: Transfer RNA (tRNA) molecules are approximately 80 nucleotides in length. Their secondary structure includes four short double-helical elements and three loops (D, anti-codon, and T loops). NCBI's taxonomy places the organism in Bacteria, Pseudomonadati, Thermodesulfobacteriota, Dissulfuribacteria, Dissulfuribacterales, Dissulfuribacteraceae. The record is from Rfam.
AGGCGCGUAGCUCAGGGGGAGAGCGCUACCUUGACGCGGUAGAAGUCGGCGGUUCGAUCCCGCCCGCGCCUA